GGACGAACGCUGGCGGCGUGCCUAAUACAUGCAAGUCGAGCGGACAGAUGGGAGCUUGCUCCCUGAUGUUAGCGGCGGACGGGUGAGUAACACGUGGGUAACCUGCCUGUAAGACUGGGAUAACUCCGGGAAACCGGGGCUAAUACCGGAUGGUUGUUUGAACCGCAUGGUUCAAACAUAAAAGGUGGCUUCGGCUACCACUUACAGAUGGACCCGCGGCGCAUUAGCUAGUUGGUGAGGUAAYGGCUCACCAAGGCAACGAUGCGUAGCCGACCUGAGAGGGUGAUCGGCCACACUGGGACUGAGACACGGCCCAGACUCCUACGGGAGGCAGCAGUAGGGAAUCUUCCGCAAUGGACGAAAGUCUGACGGAGCAACGCCGCGUGAGUGAUGAAGGUUUUCGGAUCGUAAAGCUCUGUUGUUAGGGAAGAACAAGUACCGUUCGAAUAGGGCGGUACCUUGACGGUACCUAA
RNAcentral lists this ribosomal RNA (473 nucleotides) under Bacillus subtilis. RNAcentral describes it as "bacterial SSU rRNA". It matches the Rfam family "Bacterial small subunit ribosomal RNA", at positions 27 to 482 of the family's 1533-position model. Lineage: Bacteria; Bacillati; Bacillota; Bacilli; Caryophanales; Bacillaceae. The record is from RNAcentral.